This 483-nucleotide ribosomal RNA is filed under the name uncultured bacterium. RNAcentral's name for it is "partial 16S ribosomal RNA". It matches the Rfam family "Bacterial small subunit ribosomal RNA", at positions 30 to 507 of the family's 1533-position model. The record is from RNAcentral.
UUGAACGCUGGCGGCAGGCCUAACACAUGCAGGUCGAGCGGAUGAAGGGAGCUUGCUCCUGGAUUCAGCGGCGGACGGGUGAGUAAUGCCUAGGAAUCUGCCUGGUAGUGGGGGAUAACGUCCGGAAACGGGCGCUAAUACCGCAUACGUCCUGAGGGAGAAAGUGGGGGAUCUUCGGACCUCACGCUAUCAGAUGAGCCUAGGUCGGAUUAGCUAGUUGGUGGGGUAAAGGCCUACCAAGGCGACGAUCCGUAACUGGUCUGAGAGGAUGAUCAGUCACACUGGAACUGAGACACGGUCCAGACUCCUACGGGAGGCAGCAGUGGGGAAUAUUGGACAAUGGGCGAAAGCCUGAUCCAGCCAUGCCGCGUGUGUGAAGAAGGUCUUCGGAUUGUAAAGCACUUUAAGUUGGGAGGAAGGGCAGUAAGUUAAUACCUUGCUGUUUUGACGUUACCAACAGAAUAAGCACCGGCUAACUUCGUG